CAAAGGUGAGCCAGUACAGGAUGGACCCGCGUCUGAUUAGCUAGUUGGUAAGGUAACGGCUUACCAAGGCGACGAUCAGUAGCCGACCUGAGAGGGUGAUCGGCCACAUUGGAAAUGAGACACGGUCCAAACUCCUACGGGAGGCAGCAGUGGGGAAUAUUGCACAAUGGGCGAAAGCCUGAUGCAGCAACGCCGCGUGAGUGAUGAAGGCCUUCGGGUCGUAAAACUCUGUCCUCAAGGAAGAUAAUGACGGUACUUGAGGAGGAAGCCCCGGCUAACUACGUGCCAGCAGCCGCGGUAAUACGUAGGGGGCUAGCGUUAUCCGGAUUUACUGGGCGUAAAGGGUGCGUAGGCGGUCUUUCAAGUCAGGAGUGAAAGGCUACGGCUCAACCGUAGUAAGCUCUUGAAACUGGGAGACCUGAGUGCAGGAGAGGAGAGUGGAAUUCCUAGUGUAGCGGUGAAAUGCGUAGAUAUUAGGAGGAACACCAGUUGCGAAGGCGGCUCUCUGGACUGUAACUGAGGCUGAGGCACGAAAGCGUGGGGAGCAAACAGGAUUAGAUACCCUGGUAGUCCACGCUGUAAACGAUGAGUACUAGGUGUCGGGGGUUACCCCCUUCG
This 618-nucleotide ribosomal RNA is filed under the name uncultured bacterium. RNAcentral's name for it is "bacterial SSU rRNA". It matches the Rfam family "Bacterial small subunit ribosomal RNA", at positions 202 to 842 of the family's 1533-position model. The record is from RNAcentral.